GAUGAACGCUGGCGGCGUGCUUAACACAUGCAAGUCGAACGGAAAGGCCCAAGCUUGCUUGGGUACUCGAGUGGCGAACGGGUGAGUAACACGUGGGUGAUCUGCCCUGCACUUCGGGAUAAGCCUGGGAAACUGGGUCUAAUACCGGAUAGGACCACAUUUUGGAUGGUGUGGUGGAAAGUUUUUCGGUGUGGGAUGAGCUCGCGGCCUAUCAGCUUGUUGGUGGGGUAAUGGCCUACCAAGGCGUCGACGGGUAGCCGGCCCGGGGGGGUGUACGGCCAAAUUGGGGCCUAGGAAAGGCCCCAGCUCCUAAGGGGGGACGACGGGGGGAAUAUUGCACCAUGGGGGCCAGGCUGGUGGAGGGGAGCCGCGGGGGGGAUGACGGCCUUCGGGUUGUAAACUCCUUUCGCUAGGGACGAAGCGUUAUGUGACGGUACCUGGAGAAGAAGCACCGGCUAACUACGUG
RNAcentral lists this ribosomal RNA (466 nucleotides) under uncultured bacterium. RNAcentral's name for it is "partial 16S ribosomal RNA". It matches the Rfam family "Bacterial small subunit ribosomal RNA", at positions 28 to 507 of the family's 1533-position model. The record is from RNAcentral.